UAAGAACCACAGAAAUCGAUCUAAAUAACAUACUUGUCAAAGAGAAGCCACUGAAAUCUUUGAGAAACGCGGAUAGCGAAAGCCCCAAAUCGAAACCCCUAAAUCUGAGAAACCUGAAAAUCAAACCCUAAAUGUGAUUAAAACCCCAAAUCGAAACUCAAACCAGACAAUUUCACAAUGCAAACCCUAAAUCGAUUACAAAAGAAACAUAACCUUCUCGAUUUAGAACCAGAUCUGUGACUGAGAAGCUGAAGAGUACCAAAAGAGAUUGAGGCGUUGAGCAAGAACACGAACAGAGACGGGAGAGAGACAGACAGCUGAAGAACACGAACACAAACAGAGAGAAUUGAAAAAGAGAAUUGAAAGAGAUGAAGAACAGUGAGAUGAAAAACAGUGAGAACACGAACAAUGUUUUUUGGCCUUAGAAAAAAAUUUCGGGGUUAAAAGUCACCAAAUAUUUUAUUCUCCAACGAGCAAAAAAAUUUCAUUCCGCGCUACUAUAUUAGGUAGCGGUUUUUGUAAAUUAGUGCUAUCGAAUAAUAACCCCUAAUCUAAAAAUAUUGACCCGAGUCAUUUUAUUUCCCGGGGUAAGAUAGUAUAACGUUUUGAAAACCAAACGUUAUAACGUUUUAGCUGGUUAGUAAAUUAUAGCAGAACACGAUUAACUGCUACAAUAUAAUAUUAUAAAUGCUCAAUAUUCUUCUAGUAAUU
Molecule: small RNA, 711 nt
Filed under: Arabidopsis thaliana (thale cress)
Lineage: Eukaryota; Viridiplantae; Streptophyta; Magnoliopsida; Brassicales; Brassicaceae
Description: ATSL026190
Source: RNAcentral